UGAGGAAUAUUGGUCAAUGGGCGGGAGCCUGAACCAGCCAAGUCGCGUGAAGGAAGAAGGAUCUAUGGUUCGUACACUUCUUUUGCAGGGGAAUAAAGUGCAGGACGUGUCCUGUUUUGUAUGUACCCUGAGAAUAAGGAUCGGCUAACUCCGUGCCAGCAGCCGCGGUAAUACGGAGGAUCCGAGCGUUAUCCGGAUUUAUUGAGUUUAAAGGGUGCGUAGGUGGUUUGAUAAGUCAGCGGUGAAAGUUUGCAGCUUAACUGUAAAAAUGCCGUUGAAACUGUCGGACUUGAGUGUAAAUGAGGUGGGCGGAAUGCGUGGUGUAGCGGUGAAAUGCAUAGAUAUCACGCAGAACUCCGAUUGCGAAGGCAGCUUACUAAGCUACAACUGACACUGAAGCACGAAAGCGUGGGGAUCAAACA
This 422-nucleotide ribosomal RNA is filed under the name uncultured bacterium. Its description in RNAcentral is "bacterial SSU rRNA". It matches the Rfam family "Bacterial small subunit ribosomal RNA", at positions 355 to 774 of the family's 1533-position model. The record is from RNAcentral.